CCUACGGGAGGCAGCAGUGAGGAAUAUUGGUCAAUGGGCGGGAGCCUGAUCCAGCCAAGUCGCGUGAAUGAAGAAGGUACUGAGUAUUGUAAACUUCUUUUGUCGGGGAACAAAGGCGGAGACGCGUCUCCGGAUGAGUGUACCCGAAGAAAAAGCAUCGGCAAACCCCGUGCCAGCAGCCGCGGUAAUACGGGGGAUGCGAGCGUUAUCCGGAUUUAUUGGGUUAAAGGGGUGGGCAGGGGGGAGAUCAAGUCAGCGGUAAAAUGUCGGGGCUAAACCCCGGCCGGGCGGUGAAACUGGUUUUCUAGAGUUUGGGAGAGGUAUGCGGAAUUCGUGGUGUAGCGGUGAAAUGCGUAGAUAUCACGAAGAACUCCGAUGGCGAAGGCAGCAUACCGGCUCCAUACUGACGCUGAGGCACGAAAGCGUGGGGAUCGAACAGGAUUAGAUACCCCUGUAGUC
Molecule: ribosomal RNA, 459 nt
Filed under: uncultured bacterium
Lineage: Bacteria
Description: partial 16S ribosomal RNA
Rfam family: Bacterial small subunit ribosomal RNA
Source: RNAcentral